RNAcentral lists this ribosomal RNA (357 nucleotides) under uncultured Sphingobacteriales bacterium. RNAcentral describes it as "bacterial SSU rRNA". It matches the Rfam family "Bacterial small subunit ribosomal RNA", at positions 1027 to 1382 of the family's 1533-position model. The record is from RNAcentral. Lineage: Bacteria; Pseudomonadati; Bacteroidota; Sphingobacteriia; Sphingobacteriales.
CUUUCUGCAAGGUGCUGCAUGGUUGUCGUCAGCUCGUGCCGUGAGGUGUCGGGUUAAGUCCCAUAACGAGCGCAACCCUUAUCGUUAGUUGCCAUCUGGUAAUGCAGGGGACUCUAGCGAAACUGCCACCGUAAGGUGAGAGGAAGGUGGGAUGACGUCAAAUCAGCACGGCCCUUAUGUCCCAGGGCUACACACGUGUUACAAUGGUCGGUACAGAGGGCAGCUACCUGGUGACAGGGAUGCUAAUCUCGAAAACCGGUCUCAGUUCGGAUCGAAGUCUGCAACUCGACUUCGUGAAGCUGGAUUCGCUAGUAAUCGCGCAUCAGCUAUGGCGCGGUGAAUACGUUCCCGGGCCUU